This is an RNA transcript of Lathyrus oleraceus (garden pea), 1482 nucleotides long. It is a transcript of the gene named proteasome subunit beta type-4, with no coding region annotated. Lineage: Eukaryota; Viridiplantae; Streptophyta; Magnoliopsida; Fabales; Fabaceae. The transcript has 10 exons. The record is from RefSeq and is a predicted model, not a curated record.
AAAUGUGAUUAAAAUAACUUUGGAGGAGUUGUAGAUGGAAAGUAACAAGUGACUUCUCCUUUAUUUGUUUAUUUUCACAUCUUGGGUUUUAAGCCGUCACUGUAAUUCAACCACGCCCCUCAUUCAUCCUCCUUCCUCCUUGCGAUGGAUUCCAAAUCUGAAAGCCAGAGAACUCUGUAUCCGUAUGUAACUGGAUCAUCCGUCGUUGCUAUCAAAUUCAAAGAUGGGAUUCUUAUGGCUGCUGAUAUGGGAGGUUCGUAUGGAUCUACGCUGCGUUACAAGAGUGUUGAGCGUUUGAAGCCUAUUGGAAAGCACUCCCUUCUUGGUGCUAGUGGGGAAAUAAGUGACUUUCAGGAGAUUAUGCGCUAUCUUGAUGAGCUUAUCCUUAAUGACAACAUGUGGGAUGACGGGAAUUCUUUAGGGCCUAAGGAGGUGCACAACUAUUUAACUAGGGUGAUGUAUAAUAGGCGUAACAAGUUCAAUCCAUUGUGGAACUCACUUGUUCUUGGUGGUAUUAAAAAGGGGCAGAAGUACCUUGGCACGGUUAACAUGAUUGGCAUUAAUUAUGAGGACAACCAUGUGGCAACUGGGCUUGGAAAUCAUCUUGCUAGGCCAAUUCUCCGUGAUGAGUGGAACGAAAACUUGUCAUUCGAAGAAGGUGUCAGGUUACUUGAAAAAUGCAUGCGAGUGCUUUUAUACCGUGAUAGGUCUGCUGUCAACAAGAUUCAGGUGAAUUUUGCUGGUUGUAGUGCGUUUGCCGGAUGGUGUUACGGUUCGGUUGCGUUUUCCGUAUGGCAUUUUGGUUCAGCUUUCUGCGUUCGAAUUGCGUACUUCCAUUUACCGGCAUUGCCGUUUGUUUCGGCAGCAUUGCAGCUUCGAUGUUGCGGUUCCGAGCUUGUAUUGCAGGCUCUGUUUUCUUUGGAGGCCUGUGCAUGUUGCAGUGGCUGCAACUUAUGCCCAUGCCAUUAUGUCGCGUUUGUAUGUCAUGAUGCUUGCUACUUGCGGAGUAUUCGGUACUAAACUUCAUACUGGAAGCAAAUUAAAACUGCUGAUGUCAACUACAAGUGUUCUCAUUGCUAACUGCUAAUGGUAAAUUAGAAAACUCCCACAAAAUCCAAAUCAAAAGAUAAUGCGAUUCCACGGCAUACCGAGUCCACGAUUUCAAGAAAAGAGUGUCCUCAACAACGUAAUCAAAUAGAUUGCGGGUAUUUCAUGUUGAGGUUUAUGCGAGAUACUCUUGCUUUGGGCCGAUUAAAGAUUCCCACCGAUUACUUUGAUGAAUUCAAGUGUGCAUUUUAUACAAAGGAUCAAGUGGACGAAAUCAAAGAGGAGUGGUGUCAAUUCAUGAUAAAGCUCAAUGUUUGUUCAUAAAUUUGUGUAAUUAAUGUGUACAUUUGUAGUAUAUGUUAUGACUUGUAAAUGUGUACAUAAAUUUGUAUAUAUUUUGAUACAUUUAAGGCAAAAUUGGUUUGAAUUGGUAUA